RNAcentral lists this transfer RNA (70 nucleotides) under Camelus bactrianus (Bactrian camel). It matches the Rfam family "tRNA". Rfam says of the family: Transfer RNA (tRNA) molecules are approximately 80 nucleotides in length. Their secondary structure includes four short double-helical elements and three loops (D, anti-codon, and T loops). Lineage: Eukaryota; Metazoa; Chordata; Mammalia; Artiodactyla; Camelidae. RNAcentral also lists the same sequence under 2 other names. The record is from Rfam by way of RNAcentral.
UGGGGUAGAGCUCAGUGUAGAACACCUGCUUAGCAUGCACGAUGUCCAGGUUCAAUUCCUAGUACCUCCA